RNAcentral lists this ribosomal RNA (483 nucleotides) under uncultured bacterium. RNAcentral describes it as "partial 16S ribosomal RNA". It matches the Rfam family "Bacterial small subunit ribosomal RNA", at positions 30 to 506 of the family's 1533-position model. The record is from RNAcentral.
AUUGAACGCUGGCGGCAGGCCUAACACAUGCAAGUCGAGCGGAUGAAGGGUGCUUGCUCCUGGAUUCCGCGGCGGACGGGUGAGUAAUGCCUAGGAAUCUCCCUGGUAUUGGUGGAUAACGUCUUGAAACGGGCGCUACUACCGCCUACUUCCUGCGGGAGCAAGUUGGUGAUCUUUGGACCUCACCCUCUCAGCUGAGCCUAGUUCCGACUUGUUAGUUGGUGGGGUAAGGGCCUACCAAGGCGACCAUCCGUAACUGGUCUGAGAGGAUGGUCAGGCACAGUGGAACUGAGAGACGGCACAGACACCUACGGGAGGCAGAAGUGGGGAAUAUAGGAAAAUGGGCGAAAGCCUGAACCAGCCAUGCAGCGUGUAUGAAGAAGGUCUGCGGAUUGUAAAGCACUUUAAGUUGGGAGGAAGGGCAGUAAGUUAAUAGCAUGCUGUUUUGACGUUACCAACAGAAUAAGCACCGCCUAACUCCGU